UACGUAGGGUGCGAGCGUUAAUCGGAAUUACUGGGCGUAAAGCGUGCGCAGGCGGUCUGUUAAGACCGAUGUGAAAUCCCCGGGCUUAACCUGGGAACUGCAUUGGUGACUGGCAGGCUUUGAGUGUGGCAGAGGGAGGUAGAAUUCCACGUGUAGCAGUGAAAUGCGUAGAGAUGUGGAGGAAUACCCAUGGCGAAGGCAGCUCACUGGCCAUUAUCUGACGCUGAGGCGCGAAAGCGUGGGUAGCAAACAGG
RNAcentral lists this ribosomal RNA (254 nucleotides) under uncultured bacterium. RNAcentral describes it as "partial 16S ribosomal RNA". It matches the Rfam family "Bacterial small subunit ribosomal RNA", at positions 524 to 776 of the family's 1533-position model. The record is from RNAcentral.